UAGGGAAUCUUCGGCAAUGGACGGAAGUCUGACCGAGCAACGCCGCGUGAGUGAAGAAGGUUUUCGGAUCGUAAAGCUCUGUUGUAAGAGAAGAACGAGUGUGAGAGUGGAAAGUUCACACUGUGACGGUAUCUUACCAGAAAGGGACGGCUAACUACGUGCCAGCAGCCGCGGUAAUACGUAGGUCCCGAGCGUUGUCCGGAUUUAUUGGGCGUAAAGCGAGCGCAGGCGGUUAGAUAAGUCUGAAGUUAAAGGCUGUGGCUUAACCAUAGUACGCUUUGGAAACUGUUUAACUUGAGUGCAAGAGGGGAGAGUGGAAUUCCAUGUGUAGCGGUGAAAUGCGUAGAUAUAUGGAGGAACACCGGUGGCGAAAGCGGCUCUCUGGCUUGUAACUGACGCUGAGGCUCGAAAGCGUGGGGAGCAAACAGGAUUAGAUGCCCUGGUAGUCCACGCCGUAAACGAUGAGUGCUAGGUGUUAGACCCUUUCCGGGGUUUAGUGCCGUAGCUAACGCAUUAAGCACUCCGCCUGGGGAGUACGACCGCAAGGUUG
RNAcentral lists this ribosomal RNA (550 nucleotides) under uncultured bacterium. RNAcentral's name for it is "bacterial SSU rRNA". It matches the Rfam family "Bacterial small subunit ribosomal RNA", at positions 355 to 896 of the family's 1533-position model. The record is from RNAcentral.